GGAGUUGGUGUUUCUGCUAAUUAUGAAGAAUAUGAUUGAGUCCUGUUAUGAAUCGAGAACUAGGGUUUCCUCGGUGAAUCCGUAAUGGAGUUAGAAAUUGAGAAAUUAAAGUGGGUUUGGUGAACACAGUAUGAUGAGGAAGAAUUAGUGAUUGAUGUGUGAGUUUUAAUGAAGAUUAGAGAAGCUAGGGUUUCUGUUCUUUCCCAAUAUAGAUAUUAGGGUUCUUGGAUGUAAUUGAAUCAAGUGACUGAAACUGAAAUUGAGGUUUUAGGGGAAAGAUUAGAGAUGGGAAUGUUUGAUUUGAAAAUUUUGAGGCCGUGGUGGUGGUAGAGGCAGAGGAGGCAGCAAAGAAGGAGGUCGUGGUGGUGGUGGAAUGAAAGGUGGUAGUAAAGUGAUUGAGUACAGAGUCUAGAAUCCUUUUAGAUCAAAGCUUGCUGCAGCUGUACUUGGUGGUGUUGACAAUUUUUGGAUUGAAGAUGUUGGAACUUAUGUCCAAGCUGGGAUUUGCGGCUUACCGCUUUUCUGUUUCAUGGUCUCGUAUUUUCCCUGAUGGUUUGGGAACAAAGGUCAAUGAGGAAGGAGUUGCCUACUACAACAAUCUCAUUAAUGCUCUGCUUG
Long non-coding RNA from Papaver somniferum (opium poppy), 618 nucleotides. RefSeq lists it as uncharacterized. The transcript has 3 exons. Lineage: Eukaryota; Viridiplantae; Streptophyta; Magnoliopsida; Ranunculales; Papaveraceae. The record is from RefSeq and is a predicted model, not a curated record.